GCCCACGUAGCUCAGGAGGUAGAGCACUUCCUUGGUAAGGAAGAGGUCACCGGUUCGAGUCCGGUCGUGGGCU
This is a transfer RNA of Thermodesulfobacterium commune DSM 2178, 73 nucleotides long. It matches the Rfam family "tRNA". Rfam says of the family: Transfer RNA (tRNA) molecules are approximately 80 nucleotides in length. Their secondary structure includes four short double-helical elements and three loops (D, anti-codon, and T loops). NCBI's taxonomy places the organism in Bacteria, Pseudomonadati, Thermodesulfobacteriota, Thermodesulfobacteria, Thermodesulfobacteriales, Thermodesulfobacteriaceae. The record is from Rfam.